This 253-nucleotide ribosomal RNA is filed under the name uncultured bacterium. Its description in RNAcentral is "partial 16S ribosomal RNA". It matches the Rfam family "Bacterial small subunit ribosomal RNA", at positions 524 to 776 of the family's 1533-position model. The record is from RNAcentral.
UACGUAGGAGGCAAGCGUUGUCCGGAAUUACUGGGCGUAAAGCGCGUGUAGGUGGUGGGACAAGUCUGCUGUGAAAGCGCCUGGCUUAACCGGGCGAGGUCGGCGGAAACUGUUCGACUCGAGGACGGUAGAGGGGGGUGGAAUUCCCGGUGUAGUGGUGAAAUGCGUAGAGAUCGGGAGGAACACCUGUGGCGAAGGCGGCCGGCUGGGGGUGACCUGACGCUGAGGCGCGAAAGCGUGGGGAGCGAACCGG